Molecule: long non-coding RNA, 697 nt
Organism: Mastomys coucha (southern multimammate mouse)
Lineage: Eukaryota; Metazoa; Chordata; Mammalia; Rodentia; Muridae
Exons: 4
Source: RefSeq, a predicted model, not a curated record
AUUUUACCUAGGUCCUAACACUGGGAAUUGAACCCAGGUCCCCUGGAAGAGAAGGCUGUGCUCAUAACCAAGGAACCACCCCUCUCUCCAGGCCCUCGACAGCUGUCUCCGCUCACCUCCAUGGAGCCUUCGCUGAGACCUCAGUACUUGUCACUUCAAAGGCCCAGAGUGGGUUUUCAGUUGUGAAGAACAUACUAAUCCUACAACAGCCUCCUUCAAGCAGCAGAGCGCUUGUUGGUGGUGCUGGGAGAGAGGCCCGUGUUUUCCUCACUAGAGAAGGCAGUAAGGAAGCCAAGGACAUGAGAAGACAGUUGAGGACACAGUGGGAGAGAAGACACAAGAACCCCACACAGGGACAGAAGGUCACCUGGGAUAACCUCUUCUGGACCACAUUGAGUUGGAGCUCAGGGAUGCUGUGGCUGCACAAGCCUUGUAUCUAGGGAAGCAGGCACUGGAAGACUGAAGCUGCCUCCCCAUCCUAUGCUCUGUGGUCUGUGCGGCUCUCCUGCAUGGGCUCUCAGAGGUGCAUCUUCAAAUUUCCCCUUCACCGGAGUGAUCUUGUCCACUCACCACGGGUAGGGGCAACUUCUGGACUUCUAGGAUGGCUCAGUCUUUUGGGAGAGACUUGGAUCCACUGCUCAUGAAAGUUGAUAUUAAAAAAAUAAUAAAAAUUAUGGUUACCACCUAUCAUCCAGCA